This is a long non-coding RNA of Astatotilapia calliptera (eastern happy), 1295 nucleotides long. NCBI's taxonomy places the organism in Eukaryota, Metazoa, Chordata, Actinopteri, Cichliformes, Cichlidae. The record is from Ensembl.
AUAUACAUGGCCAUGUGUAAAUAAUGUAAGUGCUAUAACAAAACAAGCACAAAACAUUAAUUCUAAUUUCUAACUAUAGUCUAUACAGUGCAUCUUAAUCAUGAAUGCAAUCUUUAAGUCACAAUCAGCUUAUUCUAUCAUCAAUGUGCACAUUUCUAUCAGAAAUCAGAAAUAAACCAUAAACUAUGGUAGAUUUUUUUUACAGUAUUGCCCUUUAACUGAAUUAAAGGAGCAUUGCUUUACACUGCAUAGCAAUGAAGCAAUAUAUUAUUUACACUCAAUGUACAGAAUAAAAUUAUGAAAAGAAUAUACAAAAACCCACAGGCUGUAGUUUUACAGUAUGUGGUAACGUAUCAGCACAGUAAGAAUACACACAGACAUCUAUCCAGUGCCGCUCGAGCAUCAAAUGUAACAAAAUAAAGUAGAUUCAUGACCUUUAAGAUCAACAUUAACUUAUUCCAUCAUCUAAUUUUAGUGCAUUUAAUAUUCAACAAGUAAUACUAGAACAUCAUCAGCACACAAGCUGAGUGCUCAAAAUGGCUGAACUCCGUGAGAAACCCCGUGUCACUACCCGAUCCGUACCUCUAUGCAUACAAUUCUUCUGUAAGUACAUCACCAUUAUUGUAAUACUGCUUAAUUCCAUUUUGUAUUGUACUGAUGUUUAAAUAAAGAUUUUGAAAAAAAAAAAAAACCCGAUCCGUACCGGAAACCCGAUCGGUACCCCGCAUGCGCGAAUCUUACGUCACUUCCUCUCUGCCAACAUUGCGACAUCCAAUAUAUUUGAAUGAUACGGUUAGCGCCCAGUUAGCUCCUAGCAUUUCUCAACAGCUCUGCCUCCUUUUCGACUGCCCGGGACAUUUAAACAAUGAAUAAUCGGUAUACAAAGAAAUUCAUGCUUUUCUCCUCAACAGAGAGUGUCCCCCGAUUGAGCAACAGCACCGUAAAAUAAGGAGAAUGGCGCCUAAUUACAGAGUUAAUAAUGCAGACUUUGUAAUAUCUCACGUGUAGAUUCAGCAGCCAGAUGAAGUGUUUACUGACAAUUGACAGUGAUAGCGCACAUCAUAAUCAUCACUAUUCCAACAAUCCUCUCCUCACAGACAAGCAUAAAAACACUCGACUAUCGCUAAAUCAAAUUUAACACACGUUUGUAAUGACGCUAAUUCAGUUUACAAUAGGGUUUAUUCGCUCGGUCAGCAGGUGGCGGUAUCCUCGUACACUGGGGAGUACACUGCCAUUAAACGAACAGAAGAAGAAGAAAACAUCUGCACAUGCGCGGUACGGAUCGGGUAGACUCG